AAUAUGCCAAAAUUAAUGGCAAGGUAUUAGAUAUUCAUCAAAAGAAAUUUCAUUAAUUUUUAUCGUACCAAGCAAAUUGGUAAAUUGUGCUUCUAAUUCAACACUUACAUACAAUCAGACAAUCUCGUUAGAUGUGAAGCUAAGGGAACAAUUUGAAAUGGAAUUCAUAUUGUUGAUUCUUAUUUCUGGCUUAAGGAAUAUAUAUGGGCCCUUUUCUAAUCUUAAUAAAUUUUGUUUCUGUCUUAGAAAAAUGAAACUAAAAAUCUUGUUUUAAUGUGACUGGACUUAUGAAUGUUGCUUUUUUUUCCCAUACUUUUGUUUUUGGUGCAUUGCAGGGAUCCAAGUGCAAUGGCAUA
Molecule: unclassified non-coding RNA, 356 nt
Filed under: Hevea brasiliensis (rubber tree)
Lineage: Eukaryota; Viridiplantae; Streptophyta; Magnoliopsida; Malpighiales; Euphorbiaceae
Source: RNAcentral